GUGCCAGCAGCCGCGGUAAUACAGAGGUCCCAAGCGUUGUUCGGAUUCACUGGGCGUAAAGGGUGCGUAGGCGGUCGGGUAAGUCUGACGUGAAAUCUUCAAGCUUAACUUGGAAACUGCGUCGGAUACUAUUCGGCUAGAGGAAUGGAGGGGAGACUGGAAUACUUGGUGUAGCAGUGAAAUGCGUAGAUAUCAAGUGGAACACCAGUGGCGAAGGCGAGUCUCUGGACAUUUCCUGACGCUGAGGCACGAAAGCCAGGGGAGCAAACGGGAUUAGAUACCCGUGUAGUCC
Molecule: ribosomal RNA, 292 nt
Filed under: uncultured bacterium
Lineage: Bacteria
Description: partial 16S ribosomal RNA
Rfam family: Bacterial small subunit ribosomal RNA
Source: RNAcentral